AGCAGGUGACCAAGGCAAUCAGUGCCGAAGAGAAAAGGCUCCAAGAACUCCCUUCUGUCAUUGUCGAUCUAAAACAGGAGACGCAGCAUUUGGCCCAUGAAGCCCUGAAGCUCCACCGUAGCGCGUCAGAAGUCCCCGGAUCGGCGGAUGAUGACCCACGGGUCUUGGACUCUGCCGAUCAGAUCCGGCGCCGGGCGAUUGCGGCUAUCGAUGCCCUUCUGGGUAAUCUGUAAAAGCACUGACUAUUUUGUACGAACCUUUAAUAACUGCUUUGACCGUCCUUCGCGACGCCUCUUUUAUUUAUUGCCCUUCUUACUUCCGAUGGGACGCACCCUUACCAAAUAUCCACGCCUCUUUCUCUUAUAAAUGCCGGCCUAGAUUCCCCUUUCCGAGAGUACCAGUUUGGCUUCGGCUUUAUUUUCUCAACCCAUUCUCAUCGGCGCGACCUUCUGUCAUGUCUUCGUCGUCUUCCUCUUCCUCUGUCAACCAGGUGAAACUCUGGCCUUGAUUCUCUUUCCUCUUUUUAAUUCUUUUGGGGAGGACCACCUUUUUA
This 553-nucleotide long non-coding RNA is filed under the name Setaria viridis. RNAcentral describes it as "long non-coding RNA (SVIR_LNC005852)". Lineage: Eukaryota; Viridiplantae; Streptophyta; Magnoliopsida; Poales; Poaceae. The record is from RNAcentral.